Molecule: ribosomal RNA, 683 nt
Filed under: uncultured Flavobacterium sp.
Lineage: Bacteria; Pseudomonadati; Bacteroidota; Flavobacteriia; Flavobacteriales; Flavobacteriaceae
Description: bacterial SSU rRNA
Rfam family: Bacterial small subunit ribosomal RNA
Source: RNAcentral
CGUGCCAGCAGCCGCGGUAAUACGGAGGAUCCAAGCGUUAUCCGGAAUCAUUGGGUUUAAAGGGUCCGUAGGCGGUCUUAUAAGUCAGUGGUGAAAUCUCCCCGCUCAACGGGGAAACGGCCAUUGAUACUGUAGGACUUGAAUUAUUAGGAAGUAACUAGAAUAUGUAGUGUAGCGGUGAAAUGCUUAGAGAUUACAUGGAAUACCAAUUGCGAAGGCAGGUUACUACUAAUGGAUUGACGCUGAUGGACGAAAGCGUGGGUAGCGAACAGGAUUAGAUACCCUGGUAGUCCACGCCGUAAACGAUGGAUACUAGCUGUUGGGAGCAAUCUCAGUGGCUAAGCGAAAGUGAUAAGUAUCCCACCUGGGGAGUACGUUCGCAAGAAUGAAACUCAAAGGAAUUGACGGGGGCCCGCACAAGCGGUGGAGCAUGUGGUUUAAUUCGAUGAUACGCGAGGAACCUUACCAAGGCUUAAAUGUAGAUUGACCGGUUUGGAAACAGACUUUUCGCAAGACAAUUUACAAGGUGCUGCAUGGUUGUCGUCAGCUCGUGCCGUGAGGUGUCAGGUUAAGUCCUAUAACGAGCGCAACCCCUGUUGUUAGUUGCCAGCGAGUGAAGUCGGGAACUCUAACGAGACUGCCAGUGCAAACUGAGAGGAAGGUGGGGAUGACGUCUAAUCAUC